RNAcentral lists this ribosomal RNA (206 nucleotides) under Weissella confusa. RNAcentral describes it as "partial 16S ribosomal RNA". It matches the Rfam family "Bacterial small subunit ribosomal RNA", at positions 433 to 637 of the family's 1533-position model. Lineage: Bacteria; Bacillati; Bacillota; Bacilli; Lactobacillales; Lactobacillaceae. The record is from RNAcentral.
CUUUUAUACACCAAGAAAAACACCCACGUGUGGGUGCCCGACGGUAGUGUAUGAAUAAGCACCGGCUAACUCCGUGCAAGCAGCCGCGGUAAUACGGAGGGUGCAAGCGUUGUCCGGAGUUAUUGGGUUUAAAGGGUGCGUAGGCGGCGCUUUAAGUCAGUGGUGAAAUCCUACAGCUUAACUGUAGAACAGCCAUUGAUACUGAA